UUCGUUGCCUUCUCUACCUCCUCUCCAGAUUGUGCGACGCUAGCUUUCUCUGCUUCCAGGCUUCCUUCCUUCUUCUUCUUCCACCUCUGGUUCCUAACCAUUUUCUAUCCAUUUUCUAGCUCUCACUCCAAUCUCCUCCACCCUCAUUUUAUAUCCAUUUUCUAUCCCCUCUCCCUUCUUUUCCCCUCUCAUUCAUUGUUCUGCGCUGCUACUUACAUCUCUAUCACCAAUAACUGAACCUGACUGUUGAUAUGAAUGGCGAUUGAAAUUUUCUUCCUCACUACGCGUACUGCUUCUGAAUCUCCUCACUAUCCAUUCGUGUAUCUCUCCCUGGUGUCAGGAAAUUCGGGCAAGAGCUAAAAAGAACGAGAAGAGCAAUGGGUGUUAAAUUCCCAGUAAUUCUCUUUCUUCUUUCUCCUCAUCCAAACUGCAAAAAAAUAGAUUUUCAAUUAUUAGUUGAACUCUUGUGCUCACGUGUGUUAAUCUGGUUUAUUUGCGGAAAUGUGUGAUUAUUGACGAGAACAUUCCUAAUCCUGUACAAAAUCCAAACACAAGGUCAAUAUUUGUUUUUUAUUUUCUUUAUUUGACAAGAUAACUUGGCCAAAUCUUAAUUUCUCUGAUUAUGGUGGAUAAUUAAAUUAGCUGUGUAAGAAAAUUUAUUGUUGGAACCAAUAAAGCAGAAUUAAGAGUUCAGAAUUCAAUUGAAGUUGAAGAUGUUAAGAACAUAUAUGUGGAAUGUAAGGCAAUUAAGGUCUGUGAACAAUGAGUGAUACUAGGAGAUUGGAUAUUCGCCACACCACUCUUUUGCUUCCAUUGUAAGAACCGGUUUUUGUGGUGUUGGUGAAGGAUAUGAGGCGGAACUCGAUGUAAUUUCCCUUCUGGUAGAGUUUUUGAAGGGGAAGGUGAUGAAACUCUGGAUAUGCUUAAAGAACGUGUAGUGACACCUUUCUCAAAGUGGGAUAAAGAGUUCUUGAGGAUCGUGUUUGAUCUGCGCUUCAAGGAACCUACUUAUGUCGAGCGUCGAUGGUUAUUAGAACAUUAUGUUUGUACACCAGCUGAGGCGGAACGCAAAGAAAAGAGAGCUGCUAAAAGGCUACGGUGGAGGGUUUCAAGAAAUUGUUAGAAGAAGCAAAGGAGGAUGGUUGAUCAUACUACUAAUUAUCAUAUAUUUAGGAAGAUAUGGGGCCAUGAUCAGCGAUUCGAGGCCUUAGAUCGCAAGGAUUGAGAGGAAAGGCCUCAAACAGCACCCUAAAUAUAAUCGAGAAUUUGUCGAGGCAGCAAAAUCGCUACACGGAAGAUUAUUUCUGACAUUACUGCUGAACCAUAAAGUUCUGGAACUCUGAACCAACCAGAAGUUUCUAUUUUUUUCUUGAAAAUAUGUACGAAUUGAAAGGUUGAUACCCAAAAAGUUGAGAAUAAGUCCAUUAUAUGACGACUUGACGAGCUCUUGAUCCGUCUUUGUGCAAGGUUAUGAAGAUUGUGAUCAUGGCAGGCUUUGGCCUCGUUGUACUUCUCACAAGACAGUGAAAAUAAAGGCAGUGGAUAGAGCUAAUUGUUUGUGUCAGACUAAAGAUGUGAGUAUGAAAGUGGCUGGAAUCCAACCUUGGAUUGCAGGCAAUGGAUAGAGCUCAUCGUUUGGGUUAGACUACAGAUGUGACUAUAGGAUUGAAAUUCAAUGAAAGCAAAUGAUGGAGAGACAGACUGAGAGCAUGGACUUCCAUAGGGAUCAAGAUUAUAGAAGAUAAGCAAGCAACAACUGGCAAUGCCAAUGUUCCUCUUUUUGAAGUUAAAAAUAGAAUGUUAUUUUGUCGUCAAAAUUAAGUUUAACAAAUUGCAAUUUCACAUAUUAUACUUAUCAUACUUUGGGGGAAGGCGAGCGUGUGUUGCAUUACUUGCAUAUCUCCUAAUUUAUUUAUCUAUUUAUGGUUUUGUAUUAUUUAUUCUAUGUUACUUCAACGUUAUCAUAACAUUUAUAUUUCGUAGAA
Spinacia oleracea (spinach) is the source of this 1985-nucleotide long non-coding RNA. RefSeq lists it as uncharacterized. NCBI's taxonomy places the organism in Eukaryota, Viridiplantae, Streptophyta, Magnoliopsida, Caryophyllales, Amaranthaceae. The record is from RefSeq and is a predicted model, not a curated record. The transcript is spliced from 12 exons.